RNAcentral lists this ribosomal RNA (372 nucleotides) under uncultured organism. RNAcentral describes it as "partial 16S ribosomal RNA". It matches the Rfam family "Bacterial small subunit ribosomal RNA", at positions 527 to 896 of the family's 1533-position model. The record is from RNAcentral.
AGAGGGUGCGAGCGUUAAUCGGAAUUACUGGGCGUAAAGAGCGCGUAGGUGGAUGUUUAAGUCGGAUGUGAAAGCCCCGGGCUCAACCUGGGAACUGCAUUCGAUACUGGGCAUCUUGAGUAUGGUAGAGGGAAGUGGAAUUUCCGGAGUAGCGGUGGAAUGCGUAGAUAUCGGAAGGAACACCAGUGGCGAAGGCGACUUCCUGGACCAAUACUGACACUGAGGCGCGAAAGCGUGGGGAGCAAACAGGGAUUAGAUACCCUGGUAGUCCACGCCGUAAACGAUGAGAACUAGGCGUUGGGAGGUUUAACCUCUCAGUGUCGUAGCUAACGCGUUAAGUUCUCCGCCUGGGGGAGUACGGCCGCAAGGCUA